GUAACAAGUAGGGCAGAUUAAGGGCAAAGAUGAGUCAUGAAAAAAAGAAUCUUGACAAAGGACUGAAUGGCCCAACUUAUUUCAGUCUGUAAGACAUCAAAUGGUUAUUAGUGAACUGAAGAGAACUGGAAGGAAGAAGUCCUGAUAUCUGUCUGGAGAAACUGAGUACAAUCACAAAGAAAAAUAAAACACAGUAGCCAAUUUCCAAAUCAGGAUUACAACCUGGGGCACACAGCAAGGGAAGCAGGAGUCAACAAAUGUAACCUUUUGUUAUGAAUCAAAGAACAACAUACGUCAGAUGAAGGUUUCACUGGGGAACAAUGGACUUACAUGUACAGUGAGUGCCACACAUCUGCAGUGAUGAAGAAGAGAAAACUGAAUC
This is a long non-coding RNA of Zootermopsis nevadensis, 382 nucleotides long. RefSeq lists it as uncharacterized. The record is from RefSeq and is a predicted model, not a curated record. NCBI's taxonomy places the organism in Eukaryota, Metazoa, Arthropoda, Insecta, Blattodea, Termopsidae.